GAUGAACGCUGGCGGCGUGCCUAAUACAUGCAAGUCGAGCGGACGGACGAGAAGCUUGCUUCUCUGAUGUUAGGCGAGGGGGGGAGUGUAACACGUGGAUAACCUACCUAUAAGACGGGGAUAACUUGGAGAAACCGGAGCUAAUACCGAAGAAUAUUUUGAGCCGCAGGGGGCAAUAGUGAAAUACGGUCUUACGGUCGCUUAUAGAUUGAUCCGCGCUGCAUUAGCUAGUUGGUAAGGUAACGGCUUACCAAGGCAACGAUGCAUAGCCGAGCUGAGAGGGUGAUCGGCCACACUGGAACUGAGACACGGUCCAGACUCCUACGGGAGGCAGCAGUAGGGAAUCUUCGGCAAUGGGCGAAAGCCUGACGGAGCAACGCCGCGUGAGUGAUGAAGGCCUUCGGAUCGUAAAACUCUGUUAUUCGGGAAGAACAUCUGUGCACGUAACCGUGCAGAUCUUGACGGUACCGGAUCAAAAAGCACCGGCUAACUACGUG
Molecule: ribosomal RNA, 497 nt
Filed under: uncultured bacterium
Lineage: Bacteria
Description: partial 16S ribosomal RNA
Rfam family: Bacterial small subunit ribosomal RNA
Source: RNAcentral